AGAAGCUUAGGUUAACCUAGACCAAGAGCCUUCAAAGCUCUAAGUAAAUAAUAAAUAUUUAGCUUCUG
This 68-nucleotide transfer RNA is filed under the name Ectophylla alba. RNAcentral describes it as "tRNA-Trp". The record is from RNAcentral. Lineage: Eukaryota; Metazoa; Chordata; Mammalia; Chiroptera; Phyllostomidae.